Molecule: ribosomal RNA, 460 nt
Filed under: uncultured bacterium
Lineage: Bacteria
Description: partial 16S ribosomal RNA
Rfam family: Bacterial small subunit ribosomal RNA
Source: RNAcentral
CCUACGGGGGGCAGCAGUGAGGAAUAUUGGUCAAUGGACGAGAGUCUGAACCAGCCAAGUAGCGUGAAGGAUGACUGCCCUAUGGGUUGUAAACUUCUUUUAUAUGGGAAUAAAAUGUUCCACGUGUGGGAUUUUGUAUGUACCAUAUGAAUAAGGAUCGGCUAACUCCGUGCCAGCAGCCGCGGUAAUACGGAGGAUCCGAGCGUUAUACGGAUUUAUUGGGUUUAAAGGGAGCGUAGGUGGAUUGUUAAGUCAGUUGUGAAAGUUUGCGGCUCAACCGUAAAAUUGCAGUUGAAACUGGCAGUCUUGAGUACAGUAGAGGUUGGCGGAAUUCGUGGUGUAGCGGUGAAAUGCUUAGAUAUCACGAAGAACUCCGAUUGCGAAGGCAGUUCACUGGACUGCAACUGACACUGAGGCUCGAAAGUGUGGGUAUCAAACAGGAUUAGAUACCCGGGUAGUC